AGGAGAGUUUGAUCCUGGCUCAGAACGAACGCUGGCAGCGUGGAUUAGGCAUGCAAGUCGAACGGGAUCCGGGGGAUAGCAAUAUUUCCCGGUGAGAGUGGCGGAUUGGGGAGGAACACGUGAGCAACCUGCCCUGGAGAUGUGGAAAACCGUUGGAAACGACGGCUAAUACAGAAUGUGGCGUCCGAUGGCAUCAUCGGAACGCUGAAGGGGGCCGCAAGGCUCCCGCUCCGGGAUGGGCUCGCGCACCAUCAGCUUGUUGGCGGGGUAACGGCCCACCAAGGCUUACGGUUAGCUGGUCUGAGAGGAUGACCAGCCCCACUGGGACUGAGAUACUGCCCAGACUCCUACGGGAGGCUGCAGUCGAGGAUCAUUCGCAAUGGGCGAAAGCCUGACGAUGCGACGCUGCGUGGAGGAUGAAGGCCUUCGGGUUGUAAACUCCUGUCAUGGGGGAAGAGGCGAGGGGACCCAAUACGUCCCUUAGUUGACUGUACCCCAAGAGGAAUGGGCGGCUAACUCUGUGCCAGCAGCCGCGGUAAUACAGAGGCCCAUAGCGUUGUUCGGAUUUACUGGGCGUAAAGGGCGCGUAGGCGGCAGGGCGUGUCAAGUGUGAAAUCUCCGGGCCCAACCCGGAAAGUGCGCUUGAAACUACCUUGCUCGAGGCCGGGAGAGGGAAUCGGAAUACAGGGUGUAGCGGUGAAAUGCGUUGAUAUCCUGUAGAACACCGGAGGCGAAGGCGGAUUCCUGGAACGGUACUGACGCUGAGGCGCGAAAGUCGGGGGAGCAAACAGGAUUAGAUACCCUGGUAGUCCCCU
RNAcentral lists this ribosomal RNA (815 nucleotides) under uncultured Chlamydiae bacterium. RNAcentral describes it as "bacterial SSU rRNA". It matches the Rfam family "Bacterial small subunit ribosomal RNA", at positions 1 to 799 of the family's 1533-position model. The record is from RNAcentral. Lineage: Bacteria; Pseudomonadati; Chlamydiota; Chlamydiia.